Molecule: ribosomal RNA, 339 nt
Filed under: Triticum aestivum (bread wheat)
Lineage: Eukaryota; Viridiplantae; Streptophyta; Magnoliopsida; Poales; Poaceae
Description: partial small subunit ribosomal RNA
Source: RNAcentral
AUGCUCAGACCAACUAAUACAUCUCUACAAUCAGUGCACGAACUCACUGAUGAUGGUACUUGGACAUGGAAAACGGAGCUUGUUCGUGAAACAUUCCUAGCCCCGGAUGCAGAAGCCAUACUGAAUAUACCAAUACGUACUGGUGGUGGGGAGGAUUUCUUUGCUUGGGCUUUCGAAAAUUCAGGUGUGUACUCUGUAAAGUCGGUGUACCGUGCUCUCGUGAAUCAAAAAGAGCGUUUGGCUCUAGAGGAAGGGACGGUUACCGGUACCUCAAAAACAGAACAGCAGAUGUGGACAUCUCUCUGGAAGCUCAAAGUUGUGCCUAAGGUGAGGUUUUUU